GUUCAUCUCGGUGAGCGAGUGAUUAAGUACGAUGUUCGAAAUGCACACAGGUAAAAAACAAGUUAAUUAACUAAACUUGGAAUCGCGUGUGAUAAGUUGCGGAGUGGAGAUCCAGUCUUUAACGGAUGGGCACACUGCGCGUAAAGUGAAGAAAAAAGGUAAAUCGCGGAGCGGAGAUUUAGUCUUUCAACGAAUGGACUCACUGCACGUGAAGUAGGGAAAAGGUAAAUCGCGGAACGAAGAUUCGGUCUUUUAAUAGGUAAGUUCGUAACGCGGAAAAUGGGUAGAAUCUAAGUGUCGAGCCAGUUAUAGCAAAGAUCACGAAAAUUUGGGCUUGGGAUAGCGCUCGCAAGAAUAAGCCACAGUCGGUGUGAUACGCGCUGUAGGUAUGGCCCUGAGAUUUACCGACAUAUAAUUUCCCGAUGUGGUUUAUCGUCUCAACGGGAUAUGUACCGACGGCAGCAAGGGACGCGAUCCUCGGAAGUUUCUUCUUCACCGACGGUCGCGCAUGGGGAAACACUCGGGAAUUUGACGUUUUCUUCUCGUGGAUUCUCACGCUAAUAUAAAAAAAAAACACUCGCGGUUCGUAUCACUCGCGCACUAAUUAAGAAAUUCGAUCGCGGUUAGGGUCAACUCGCGGAUAACACUUGAGGAAUGGUGGCCGAGGUGGCGCUCACCAUGGUAAGUAGGAUUUCUUCUCAACAGCCAAGGUGGCGUUCGCUGAGAGUGGAUCGAUAGGAUGCUAGGUGCAACGUGGAGAGAAUAAUCUGACAACCUUCCCAACGCUAAGGCGGCGGACUUGAGAGAGACUGUUCUACGUACCUACUGCUUCUUCAGGAACACCCGGGAUGACAACCUGGCGGCGACCUUCAACGGUGGAGCACCUCUAACGAUCG
Long non-coding RNA from Leptopilina heterotoma, 896 nucleotides. RefSeq lists it as uncharacterized. The transcript is spliced from 4 exons. Lineage: Eukaryota; Metazoa; Arthropoda; Insecta; Hymenoptera; Figitidae. The record is from RefSeq and is a predicted model, not a curated record.